Spinacia oleracea (spinach) is the source of this 2221-nucleotide long non-coding RNA. RefSeq lists it as uncharacterized. Lineage: Eukaryota; Viridiplantae; Streptophyta; Magnoliopsida; Caryophyllales; Amaranthaceae. The record is from RefSeq and is a predicted model, not a curated record. The transcript has 4 exons.
UUACAAAAAUGCAUUGAUUUUGGAAAGCUAUCCUAAUUGGUUUGGAUUCAAACAUCAAAACCCAAUCCUAAUCCUAGCCCAAAUAGUGAAGCCCAAAACAAAUAAACCCACCACUCUCUUUACUUGUUCCAACUUCACGUAAAAACAAAAAACAAGAAAACCUCAAAAUAUAUCUCUCUCCCUGCUGCAAAUUCACGUGAACCCUCAACCUCCAUUGCUGCUGUUCACGCCACCGGACCACCACCUGCACGACACCGGCUUCUCUCACCCGCCGUCGCCGUGCAACCACCACUGCCCACCGUACAACGCCAGCCGCUCCCUUGCCGCACCGCCUGGCUGCACCGGACGUCAGUCGUCGUCCUCCGCACGAUGAGCCAUUCUUUCUUGUUCCUCUCAGCGCACACAUCAUCGGCGCACACAACCACCGUCGCACCGUCGGCCUCCGCGACCACCGUGCUUGCUGCCGCGUAUUCCGUCGCCGACCAGCCUCCCUUGUCUCCACUUUUGGCGGAGAAUUCUCUGUAGGCAACUUUUGAAAGUGUUAAAGUGACCUAUCAAUUUGUUUACACAAGAUCAUGGCUAUGCCUUAUUGAUCAUGUGAUGACCCGUUUUGGUGAGCAGUCUCUAAAGAUCAAUAAGCGUUACCCAUCUACAGGUUUGAAGAUGAUGCAUCAUUGGGAUCGGGAUUAGAGAGCUUGUAUUUAGUUUUGAUUCGCUAAGUUGAAUUUGGUUUGUUUAAUUGGACUCUAAACUUGUUGAACUAGCUACAUUGACUUUAUUUCCAUUGAUUGGUUUUGGAAUUAACUCUGUAGUUGAUUAUUAUAAACCUAAAGUUAGUUUUAUGUUUUUCGCUACAAAAUUCUGAAUAAGCCGUUACGUUUUCACAAGGGCGAUAAUACUUUGAUAAUUCUUUAUAGUUAUAUUUAUUAAAAAGGUUAUUCUAGAAAAUGAAGAAUUGUCGGGGUGUUACAGUGCCCACUAGCGCACAGGCCAACAACUAGUUAUGAUUGAUAUGCUUGAGAUCCCGAGCUUGAGCAUAGUUUGAGAGCAACCCCUAUGAAGUUGAUUGAUUGUAUUGUUAGUGACGGUUUUGAUUAAUAAUAUACAACUUGGUACGUGGGUAUACCAUGUUAAUUAUAUUGUGUGUGCUUUGUCUAGAUUGUUAUCUCGUACUGUCCCUAACAUGCCUCAUGUAACAUGCAUUGUAAUUAUGCUUACUAAUAUGGAGUACUAUGGUAUCAAAGUUUGGUUAAUGUAUCAGUUCAUAUCCAGUAACUUUUCAAUAUCAAUGAUUUCUUCUAAUUAUUUGGAUAAUGACACGGUGUUCAAGUACAUUUUUGAAAUUGACAUAUAAAAAUAAGCAUGCCCAAUGCAUCUAAAAAUUAAUCUACAACAAAUAUUAUAAUUUAUACCUAAUUGAUACUAAUUAACCUUUCGAUUAUACAAAUUAUUGUGUUUGUCAAAGUUUGAUGAAGUGAUUAGUCAAUUUUUGUCAAAGUUGGAAUAUUGAUGUCAAUAAUAUGAUCCUUAAGUAUUGUGUUAAGUUACAGACGCUUCUCUUAUCUAGAUAAGAACAUAGUUUCAAAUACGUUAUAAUAAAUUGUAAAGGAUAAAUGAGCAUGAAAAAUAGAUCUUAAUUACAAACACCAUUAUUGUGCCUAUGUAAACUUAAUUGAUAACUAGUUAGGAAAUAUGAUCUACGCUUGUGCACUGUUGUUUCCUUUAUUGUUUCAUAAAGUUAUGAGGAUUUGCUUCCUGACCGAUUUUUUUUACUGAAGGGACCGUCUCGUUUUUUGUAAUCUAUAUAUAAAGCAUUUGGAUAUCUACACAAAGACGAGCUUUGCAUAAAAAAAAUACAAGUACUCCAGUUUACAACCAUUAGUCAUUCGUUUUGAUUAUUCUAGCUAAUUCCUCGUGAACUUUGACCAUGGCUUUUUACGUAUUAUUUUUACGAUAUAUGUUUGUAUUCAUCGCGCACGGUCCAACAACUAGUGAUUUAGAAGGGUGUGAUUGGGAAGUGACCGAGCGAUGUGGUUAGCAAGACAAUUCGUUGAUUGGUCUGACUAGGCUACAAUGGCAUAACCACAUUAGUUUUGCGAACCACUAAAGUAGGAUCUAGGAAAAUUUUGAUUUUCCAAACUGAUUUCAACUUUCAAGAAGCUUCACAAAAGUCUCGUGAGACAACUUUCAUUUUCUAAAAGCCCACGAAAAAUGGCAACCC